CGAAUACCGGAGAAUGUUAUCACGGGAGACACACGGCGGGUGCUAACGUCCGUCGUGAAGAGGGAAACAACCCAGACCGCCAGCUAAGGUCCCAAAGUCAUGGUUAAGUGGGAAACGAUGUGGGAAGGCCCAGACAGCCAGGAUGUUGGCUUAGAAGCAGCCAUCAUUUAAAGAAAGCGUAAUAGCUCACUGGUCGAGUCGGCCUGCGCGGAAGAUGUAACGGGGCUAAACCAUGCACCGAAGCUGCGGCAGCGACGCUUAUGCGUUGUUGGGUAGGGGAGCGUUCUGUAAGCCUGCGAAGGUGUGCUGUGAGGCAUGCUGGAGGUAUCAGAAGUGCGAAUGCUGACAUAAGUAACGAUAAAGCGGGUGAAAAGCCCGCUCGCCGGAAGACCAAGGGUUCCUGUCCAACGUUAAUCGGGGCAGGGUGAGUCGACCCCUAAGGCGAGGCCGAAAGGCGUAGUCGAUGGGAAACAGGUUAAUAUUCCUGUACUUGGUGUUACUGCGAAGGGGGGACGGAGAAGGCUAUGUUGGCCGGGCGACGGUUGUCCCGGUUUAAGCGGGUAGGCUGGUUUUCCAGGCAAAUCCGGAAAAUCAAGGCUGAGGCGUGAUGACGAGGCACUACGGUGCUGAAGCAACAAAUGCCCUGCUUCCAGGAAAAGCCUCUAAGCAUCAGGUAACAUCAAAUCGUACCCCAAACCGACACAGGUGGUCAGGUAGAGAAUACCAAGGCGCUUGAGAGAACUCGGGUGAAGGAACUAGGCAAAAUGGUGCCGUAACUUCGGGAGAAGGCACGCUGAUAUGUAGGUGAAGUCCCUCGCGGAUGGAGCUGAAAUCAGUCGAAGAUACCAGCUGGCUGCAACUGUUUAUUAAAAACACAGCACUGUGCAAACACGAAAGUGGACGUAUACGGUGUGACGCCUGCCCGGUGCCGGAAGGUUAAUUGAUGGGGUCAGCGCAAGCGAAGCUCUUGAUCGAAGCCCCGGUAAACGGCGGCCGUAACUAUAACGGUCCUAAGGUAGCGAAAUUCCUUGUCGGGUAAGUUCCGACCUGCACGAAUGGCGUAAUGAUGGCCAGGCUGUCUCCACCCGAGACUCAGUGAAAUUGAACUCGCUGUGAAGAUGCAGUGUACCCGCGGCAAGACGGAAAGACCCCGUGAACCUUUACUAUAGCUUGACACUGAACAUUGAGCCUUGAUGUGUAGGAUAGGUGGGAGGCUUUGAAGUGUGG
RNAcentral lists this ribosomal RNA (1227 nucleotides) under Escherichia coli. RNAcentral describes it as "partial 23S ribosomal RNA". It matches the Rfam family "Bacterial large subunit ribosomal RNA", at positions 957 to 2167 of the family's 2925-position model. Lineage: Bacteria; Pseudomonadati; Pseudomonadota; Gammaproteobacteria; Enterobacterales; Enterobacteriaceae. The record is from RNAcentral.